GGAAGGAUCAUUACUGAAUUGUCAAACGGGUUGUUGCUGGUCCUCAAAUGGGGACAUGUGCACGCUCUGUUUACACAUCCACUCACACCUGUGCACCCUCUGUAGUUCUGCGGUAUGGGGGACCCCGUCUUCCUUCUGUGGUUCUAUGUCUUUACACACACACUGUAAUAAAGUCUUAUGGAAUGUAUGCCGCGUCUAACGCAAUACAAUACAACUUUCAGCAACGGAUCUCUUGGCUCUCGCAUCGAUGAAGAACGCAGCGAAAUGCGAUAAGUAAUGUGAAUUGCAGAAUUCAGUGAAUCAUCGAAUCUUUGAACGCACCUUGCGCCCCUUGGCUAUUCCGAGGGGCAUGCCUGUUUGAGUAUCAUGAACACCUCAACUCUCAUGGUUUGCCAUGACGAGCUUGGACCUUGGGGGUUUUGCUGGCCUGUGGUCGGCUCCUCUCAAAUGAAUCAGCCUCCCAGUGUUUGGUGGCGUCACGAGUGUGAUAACUAUCUACGCUCGCGGUUGUCCACCAGGUAACCUUUGGUGACAAAGGUUCGCUG
This 545-nucleotide small RNA is filed under the name uncultured fungus. RNAcentral's name for it is "eukaryotic LSU rRNA". The stretch from base 213 to 367 matches the Rfam family "5.8S ribosomal RNA". Lineage: Eukaryota; Fungi. The record is from RNAcentral.